CCUCAGGUGGGUGGGGUUGGAAGAUGCAAAUGUCCUCUCAGUCUCACCACAGGGCACGGUGUGUGCUUCCUUCCCCAAGCCAUUAGAGAGUGGCCUUCGUUCCUAGGGGACAGUACUUCGAGGGUGCUGGGCCAGAGAGCCAGAAUGAACACCCUGUCCCAGCCAUGAUGGAAGAUCAGAUAGGGUGGCUCCGUUCUUCUGCUUCUUUUUGGAAAGAAGAUCAGCCCUUGUUAAGGAAGUGCCCUUGGGUCGCUGCACAUUGGAGAGGGGAGGGCUUGGUUCUCCUUUGGCCCAGAAUGGUGCUGUUCUCUGAGCAAAAACUCCCACCAUUGUCGCCGAGCUUGUGGAGGCUGUGAUGCUAACUCCAGGAUGGACCCACUGCCCUGGGGUCUUGCUCCCUUUACUUGGAUGUUAUUGUUGUUGAAUCUCUUGGAUUGUUGGAUUGAAAGUCAGAAAACCUGGGUCUUGCCCUUUACAGUCAUGAAGUUUUCACUUGAUCUUGGGUGGGAACCCCAACUCCUUCUCUGUGUGACUUUGGGCAGCACCCCACAAGCCCACUGGGUCUGAGCUUCUUCACCUGAAGAUAACGGUUUCUAUUAGAUGGCUCCUUCUGGCUCCAUAGGUCAGUGAUGGAAAAGGAUUUCAAGCAGCUUCUCUUCAUUCUGUUUUUUGUUUUUCUUCAUGACCUGGAACACACAUAUACCCCAGGUCCUAAAUUCCUGCUCAGAAACUGGGAUAGCAAACUCUUACCUCAGAAGGCUACUGUGGAAUUAAUGAAUUAAUGUAGAAAUUCUUUGAACUCUCCAUCGUGGAAGAAAUCAGUGCUUAUUAUUACUUUCAGAAACAGCCUAAAGGGAGAUCAGGCAGCACUGUCAGCAGAAGGCCUGCAGCAAUCUUAAACCAGAGCUUCCUGCUCUCAGCCACCCUGCCUGUUGAUUUCAAAUCUUGGGAGCACCCAGGGAGGAAUGGUUCUGUGGCUGAGGGUGACAGCAAAAUAGAAAAUGAGUGGCCCUUCCACAAUAUUUAUGGGUUGCUUUAUGUUCCCCACAGUGUGCAGGGGGGCAUGUUGCAAGAAGACAUGUUUAAAUCAAUACUUUGGGUAUUUUUUGCAGGGCUCACAGUGAUUUAGGUUUUUUAAAUAUAUGUAAUGCCAUAUUUCUGGUGCACUGGGAGAGAGAGCAUCCACUUGGUUCUUUUAUGUUAGAAUGGUAAAUCACAGAUCUGUGAUAAAGAUGUGAAACAGGCAUUAAGCAGAAAACAAGUAGCCAGAGAUGAACCCUUGUGAAGUGUCAUCAUCUAUUUCAGUUUUCUAAAUGAAAUUGGGUUUUCCUGUUGAGCCUAAAAUAUUGUUUCCCGUCUCUAGCUGAGAUAAGUUUUUCAUGGUGGGUG
This 1389-nucleotide long non-coding RNA is filed under the name Sus scrofa (pig). RNAcentral describes it as "lncRNA (ENSSSCG00070016462.1)". Lineage: Eukaryota; Metazoa; Chordata; Mammalia; Artiodactyla; Suidae. The record is from RNAcentral.